GAGAGGGUCUGUCAGUGCUGAGAGGCUGAGGGAGUUGGGAAUGGAGAGGGACUGGGUGAGCACCAACUAAGAGGAAUGGCUACUCACCGCACAGAGGGAGAGCGGGCCUCCAGGAGGCUCAGGGCUGGCCCCACAGCGCAGGCACAAGGGAAGAGCCCCAUGCCAGUCUUCCACAACUGAACACUUUCCUCUUUCCACAGUGGCCUCUGACCCCAGGCAUCUCAGGAACAAGGGUUCCCCUAUCAUCUACUCUGAAGUUAAGGUGGCGUCAACCCCGGUUUCCGGAUCCCUGUUCUUGGCUUCCUCAGCUCCUCACAGAUGAGUCCACACGUCUCUCCAACUGCUGUUUCAGCCUCUGCACCCCAAAGUUCCCCUUGGGGGAGAAGCAGCAUUGAAGUGGGAAGAUUUAGGCUGCCCCAGACCAUAUCUACUGGCCUUUGUUUCACAUGUCCUCAUUCUCAGUCUGACCAGAAUGCAGGGCCCUGCUGGACUGUCACCUGUUUCCCAGUUAAAGCCCUGACUGGCAGGUUUUUUAAUCCAGUGGCAAGGUGCUCCCACUCCAGGGCCCAGCACAUCUCCUGGAUUCCUUAGUGGGCUUCAGCUGUGGUUGCUGUUCUGAGUACUGCUCUCAUCACACCCCCACAGAGGGGGUCUUACCACACAAAGGGAGAGUGGGCCUUCAGGAGAUGCCGGGCUGGCCUAACAGCUCAGGUGCUCCUAAACUCCGACACAGAGUUCCUGCUUUGGGUGGAUGCAUUUCUCAAUUGUCAUCAGCCUGGUGGGGCUACUGCAGUGUGCUGCCAAAUGGGACAGCACACAGCCUGUGCACAUGGGACAUGUGAUGGGUCUCCCCACGGGGGCUGCAUUUCACACUCCUCCACCUGUCUCAAACUCUAAGGUCGGCACUUGACACCAAGGUAACUUCUCUCCUGCUCAUGUGUCAGUGUCUACCUGCCCAAGUAAGUGGCUUUCAUACACCAAGUCCCAAGUUCUUCCCAUCCUAACAGAAGUAACCCAGCAAGUCAAGGCCAGGAGGACCAGGGGUGCAGACAGAACACAUACUGGAACACAGGAGGUGCUCAAUUACUAUUUGACUGACUGACUGAAUGAAUGAAUGAAUGAGGAAGAAAACUGUGGGUAAUCAAACUGGCAUAAAAUCCAGUGCACUCCCUAGGAAAUCCGGGAGGUAUUCUGGCUUCCCUAAGAAACAAUGGAAGAGAAGGAGCUUGGAUGAGGAAACUGUUCAGCAAGAGGAAGGGCUUCUCACACUUUCAUGUGCUUGUGGAUCACCUGAGGAUCCUGUGAAAAUACAGAUACUGAUUCAGUGGGUCUGCGUAGAGCCUGAGACUGCCAUUCUAACAUGUUCCCAGGGGAUGCUGAUGCUGCUGGCCCUGGGACUGCACUGCAUGCAUGUGAAGCCCUAUAGGUCUCAGCAGAGGCCCAUGGAGAGGGAAUGUGUGGCUCUGGCUGCCCAGGGCCCAACUCGGUUCACACGGAUCGUGCUGCUCCCUGGCCAGCCUUUGGCCACAGCACCACCAGCUGCUGUUGCUGAGAGAGCUUCUUCUCUGUGACAUGUUGGCUUUCAUCAGCCACCCUGGGAAGCGGAAAGUAGCUGCCACUAUCUUUGUUUCCCCACCUCAGGCCUCACACUUUCCCAUGAAAAGGGUGAAUGUAUAUAACCUGAGCCCUCUCCAUUCAGAGUUGUUCUCCCAUCUCUGAGCAAUGGGAUGUUCUGUUCCGCUUUUAUGAUAUCCAUCACAUCUUAUCUUGAUCUUUGCUCCCAGUGGAUUGUACAGUGAUGACUUUUAAGCCCCACGGCCCUGAAAUAAAAUCCUUCCAAGGGCAUUGGAAGCUCACUCCACCUGAACCAUGGCUUUUCAUGCUUCCAAGUGUCAGGGCCUUGCCCAGAUAGACAGGGCUGGCUCUGCUGCCCCAACCUUUCAAGGAGGAAACCAGACACCUGAGACAGGAGCCUGUAUGCAGCCCAGUGCAGCCUUGCAGAGGACAAGGCUGGAGGCAUUUGUCAUCACUACAGAUAUGCAACUAAAAUAGACGUGGAGCAAGAGAAAUGCAUUCCCACCGAGGCCGCUUUUUUAGGCCUAGUUGAAAGUCAAGAAGGACAGCAGCAAGCAUAGGCUCAGGAUUAAAGAAAAAAAUCUGCUCACAGUCUGUUCUGGAGGUCACAUCACCAACAAAGCUCACGCCCUAUGCAGUUCUGAGAAGGUGGAGGCACCAGGCUCAAAAGAGGAAAUUUAGAAUUUCUCAUUGGGAGAGUAAGGUACCCCCAUCCCAGAAUGAUAACUGCACAGUGGCAGAACAAACUCCACCCUAAUGUGGGUGGACCCCGUCCAGUCUGUUGAAGGCCUGAAUGUAACAAAAGGGCUUAUUCUUCCUCAAGUAAGGGGGAACUCCUGCUUUGGGCUGGGACAUAAGUUUUUCUGCUUUCAGACGCAAACUGAAAAAUGGCUCUUCUUGGGUCUUGAGCUUGCUGGCAUAUGGACUGAAAGAAACUAUGCUAUUGGAUCUCCUGGAUCUCCAGCUUGCUGACUGCAGAUCUUGAGAUAUGUCAGCCUCUACAGUCACAAGAGCUAAUUCAUUCUAAUAAACCAAUCUUUCUGUA
This 2620-nucleotide long non-coding RNA is filed under the name Homo sapiens (human). Its description in RNAcentral is "non-protein coding lnc-FCRL5-1:3". The record is from RNAcentral. Lineage: Eukaryota; Metazoa; Chordata; Mammalia; Primates; Hominidae.